CUCGGAAACGCAGCUAUGACUGCUUGGAGGUUGACGACGUUGGACUGAAAAUGGCGGACUGGUUCUGGAGGUUGACGUCGGUGGUUUCGACUGGUUUUAGGGUUUCUGGGAAGGUGAGGACGGUGGCGAGGAGGCGGGUCCGUGUGGUGGUGGUGUUUUGACAGUGACGGAGGUGGAAGGAGUUAGUAGUAGACGGGGUUGUUUGGUUCAGUGGUCGACUGGGCCGUGACGAUGCAGCAGGAGCUGGGCGUCGUCUGUGGUGGCGUUCGGACGUAGGUUGAGGGACAGUGGCAACGUGGGGGGGAAGUUGGACGUGAGGGAGUCGGACGCAGGUGGUUUGUUGGUGGUUUUGGACGUGAGGGUGCCGGCGUUAAUGGAGGUGGGCAUUUGGUGGUGUUCCGGCGAAGGGGAUGGUGCGUGGGGGUGUUGUCCGGUGAGUUGAAGAAGAAGACGAUGGUGUCUUCCUCUUCGGGUGGCUUGGCUCCUUGGUUUCGUGGGUUUUUCAGUAGGGUUCGUUAGGUUUUUCAAAAGAGGAGGAAGGUGAACAGUAAUCCUCCUCCAAAAUUUUUUAAUCCAUGUUCGUCUUUUUUU
This 591-nucleotide long non-coding RNA is filed under the name Nicotiana tabacum (common tobacco). RNAcentral describes it as "long non-coding RNA (NTAB_LNC015066)". The record is from RNAcentral. Lineage: Eukaryota; Viridiplantae; Streptophyta; Magnoliopsida; Solanales; Solanaceae.